Molecule: ribosomal RNA, 540 nt
Filed under: Triticum aestivum (bread wheat)
Lineage: Eukaryota; Viridiplantae; Streptophyta; Magnoliopsida; Poales; Poaceae
Description: partial small subunit ribosomal RNA
Source: RNAcentral
AUGAAAGCAAACAAUCAGAAUGCCCAGGUCCUUAAAAGCAUCCUUGAUUCGUAUUGUGCAGCAUCGGGACAGCUGGUGAGUGUGGACAAAUCUAGUAUUUUCUUUAGCCCUAACACGGAUGUGCUUAUUCGCGCUGAGAUGUGCUCGACCCUCAAUAUAUUGACCGAGGCAUUGAAUGACACAUACUUGGGCCUCCCAGCAAUUAUUGGCAUGGACAAAAUAGAUUGUUUUCAAUUCCUUAUUGAUAGAGUGAACAAAAGGAUUAAUGGAUGGAAAGAAAGACAGUUGUCGGCAGGAGGUAAGGAGGUUCUACUUAAAUCGGUUAUACAGGAAAUUCCAUCAUAUGCAAUGGGCGUCUUCAAAAUUCCUAAACAAACUUGCAAAGGAAUAACUGACGCAAUGUCGCAUUACUGGUGGGGUGACAGUGGUGACCAGAAAAAGAUGCAUUGGAUGGCUUGGUGGAAGUUGUGUGUACCGAAACAACAAGGAGGUAUGGGGUUUGGGGACAUCCAUUGCUUUAACCUUUGCGUUGUUGGCUAA